CUACGGGUCGCUGCAGUGAGGAAUAUUGCGCAAUGGGCGAAAGCCUGACGCAGCGACGCCGCGUGGAGGAUGAAGGCUUUAGGGUCGUAAACUCCUGUUAAGUGGGAAGAAAUCUCCAACUCUAAUACAGUUGGAGGAUGACGGUACCAUUAGAGAAAGCACCGGCUAACUUCGUGCCAGCAGCCGCGGUAAUACGAGGGGUGCUAGCGUUAUUCGGAUUUACUGGGCGUAAAGGGUGUGUAGACGGCUUAUUAAGUCGGCUGUUAAAUACUUCGGCCUAACCGAAGAUCAGCGGUUGAAACUGAUAAGAUAGAGGAUGGAAGAGAGAAGUGGAAUUCUCGGAGUAGCGGUAAAAUGCGUAGAUCUCGAGAGGAACACCGAUGGCGAAGGCAGCUUCUUGGUCCAUUCCUGACGUUCAAACACGAAAGCGUGGGGAGCAAACAGGAUUAGAUCCGCGUAGUC
RNAcentral lists this ribosomal RNA (462 nucleotides) under uncultured bacterium. Its description in RNAcentral is "partial 16S ribosomal RNA". It matches the Rfam family "Bacterial small subunit ribosomal RNA", at positions 339 to 795 of the family's 1533-position model. The record is from RNAcentral.